UACGUAGGGGGCUAGCGUUAUCCGGAAUUACUGGGCGUAAAGGGUGCGUAGGUGGUUUCUUAAGUCAGAGGUGAAAGGCUACGGCUCAACCGUAGUAAGCCUUUGAAACUGGGAAACUUGAGUGCAGGAGAGGAGAGUGGAAUUCCUAGUGUAGCGGUGAAAUGCGUAGAUAUUAGGAGGGACACCAGUUGCGAAGGCGGCUCUCUGGACUGUAACUGACACUGAGGCACGAAAGCGUGGGGAGCAAACAGG
Molecule: ribosomal RNA, 252 nt
Filed under: uncultured bacterium
Lineage: Bacteria
Description: partial 16S ribosomal RNA
Rfam family: Bacterial small subunit ribosomal RNA
Source: RNAcentral